GGUCAGGUAGCUCAGUUGGUAGAGCAAUGGACUGAAAAUCCAUGUGUCGGCGGUUCGAUUCCGCCCCUGACCA
RNAcentral lists this transfer RNA (73 nucleotides) under Planctomycetota bacterium. Its description in RNAcentral is "tRNA-Phe". It matches the Rfam family "tRNA". From Rfam's summary of the family: Transfer RNA (tRNA) molecules are approximately 80 nucleotides in length. Their secondary structure includes four short double-helical elements and three loops (D, anti-codon, and T loops). The record is from RNAcentral. RNAcentral also lists the same sequence under 1 other name. Lineage: Bacteria; Pseudomonadati; Planctomycetota.